RNAcentral lists this ribosomal RNA (539 nucleotides) under Bifidobacterium longum subsp. infantis. Its description in RNAcentral is "bacterial SSU rRNA". It matches the Rfam family "Bacterial small subunit ribosomal RNA", at positions 146 to 699 of the family's 1533-position model. Lineage: Bacteria; Bacillati; Actinomycetota; Actinomycetes; Bifidobacteriales; Bifidobacteriaceae. The record is from RNAcentral.
UCUCCUGGAAAACGGGUGGUAAUGCCGGAUGCUCCAGUUGAUCGCAUGGUUUUUUGGGAAAGCUUUCGCGGUAUGGGAUGGGGUCGCGUCCUAUCAGCUUGACGGCGGGGUAACGGCCCACCGUGGCUUCGACGGGUAGCCGGCCUGAGAGGGCGACCGGCCACAUUGGGACUGAGAUACGGCCCAGACUCCUACGGGAGGCAGCAGUGGGGAAUAUUGCACAAUGGGCGCAAGCCUGAUGCAGCGACGCCGCGUGAGGGAUGGAGGCCUUCGGGUUGUAAACCUCUUUUAUCGGGGAGCAAGCGAGAGUGAGUUUACCCGUUGAAUAAGCACCGGCUAACUACGUGCCAGCAGCCGCGGUAAUACGUAGGGUGCAAGCGUUAUCCGGAAUUAUUGGGCGUAAAGGGCUCGUAGGCGGUUCGUCGCGUCCGGUGUGAAAGUCCAUCGCUUAACGGUGGAUCCGCGCCGGGUACGGGCGGGCUUGAGUGCGGUAGGGGAGACUGGAAUUCCCGGUGUAACGGUGGAAUGUGUAGAUAUCG